AAUGGGAGGCUUGGCAAGAAG
This 21-nucleotide microRNA is filed under the name Citrus sinensis (sweet orange). RNAcentral describes it as "csi-miR482b-5p". Its record names the gene csi-miR482b-5p. Lineage: Eukaryota; Viridiplantae; Streptophyta; Magnoliopsida; Sapindales; Rutaceae. The record is from miRBase by way of RNAcentral.